AGAGUUUGAUCAUGGCUCAGAUUGAACGCUGGCGGAAUGCUUUACACAUGCAAGUCGAACGGCAGCAUAGGUGCUUGCACCUGAUGGCGAGUGGCGAACGGGUGAGUAAUACAUCGGAACGUGCCCAGUCGUGGGGGAUAACGUAGCGAAAGUUACGCUAAUACCGCAUACGAUCUAAGGAUGAAAGCGGGGGACCGUAAGGCCUCGCGCGAUUGGAGCGGCCGAUGUCAGAUUAGGUAGUUGGUGGGGUAAAGGCUCACCAAGCCAACGAUCUGUAGCUGGUCUGAGAGGACGACCAGCCACACUGGAACUGAGACACGGUCCAGACUCCUACGGGAGGCAGCAGUGGGGAAUUUUGGACAAUGGACGCAAGUCUGAUCCAGCCAUUCCGCGUGCAGGAUGAAGGCCCUCGGGUUGUAAACUGCUUUUGUACGGAACGAAAAGGCUCUUCCUAAUACGAGGGGCUCAUGACGGUACCGUAAGAAUAAGCCCCGGCUAACUACGUGCCAGCAGCCGCGGUAAU
This 523-nucleotide ribosomal RNA is filed under the name uncultured bacterium. RNAcentral's name for it is "bacterial SSU rRNA". It matches the Rfam family "Bacterial small subunit ribosomal RNA", at positions 8 to 524 of the family's 1533-position model. The record is from RNAcentral.